Molecule: long non-coding RNA, 567 nt
Filed under: Homo sapiens (human)
Lineage: Eukaryota; Metazoa; Chordata; Mammalia; Primates; Hominidae
Description: HSALNT0295890
Source: RNAcentral
GUGUGCGGGGUGUGUGUGUGUGUGGUGUUUGUGUGUGGUGUGUAUGGUGUGUGUGAUGUGUGGUGUGUGCGGGGUGUGUGUGUGUGUGGUGUUUGUGUGUGGUGUUUGUGUGUGGUGUGUAUGGUGUGUGUGAUGUGGUGUGUGUGGGUUGUGUGUGUGGUGUUUGUGUGUGGUAUGUAUGGUGUGUGUGAUGUGUGGUGUGUGGUGUGUGUGUGGUGUGUGUGUCGUAUGUGGUGUGCAUGGUGUGUGUGGUGUGUAUGGUGUGUGUAUGGUUUGUGUGAGGUGUGUGUGGGGUGUGUGUGUGUGGUGUUUGUGUGUGGUGUGUGGGAUGUGUGGUGUGUGGGGGGUGUGUGUGUGGUGUUUGUGUGUGGUGUGUAUGGUGUGUGUGUGGUUUGUGUGAGGUGUGUGUGGGGUGUGUGUGUGUGGUGUUUGUGUGUGGUGUGUGUGGGGUGUGUGUGUGUGGUGUGUGUGUGGUGUGUGUGUGUGGUGUGUAUGGUGUGUGUGAUGUGUGGUGUGUGGUGUGUGUGUGUGUGUGUGUGUGUGUGUGUGUGUGUAGAAUGUGAAAGC